GAUGAACGCUGGCGGCGUGCCUAAUACAUGCAAGUCGAGCGAACAGAUGAGGAGCUUGCUCCUCUGACGUUAGCGGCGGACGGGUGAGUAACACGUGGAUAACCUACCUAUAAGACUGGGAUAACUUCGGGAAACCGGAGCUAAUACCGGAUAAUAUAUUGAACCGCAUGGUUCAAUAGUGAAAGACGGUUUUGCUGUCACUUAUAGAUGGAUCCGCGCCGCAUUAGCUAGUUGGUAAGGUAACGGCUUACCAAGGCAACGAUGCGUAGCCGACCUGAGAGGGUGAUCGGCCACACUGGAACUGAGACACGGUCCAUACUCCUACGGGAGGCAGCAGUAGGGAAUCUUCCGCCAUGGGCGAAAGCCUGACGGCGCAACGCCGCGUGAGUGAUGAAGGUCUUCGGAUCGUAAAACUCUGUUAUUGGGGAAGAACAAAUGUGUAAGUAACUAUGCACGUCUUGACGGUACCUAAUCAGAAAGCCACGGCUAACUACGUG
RNAcentral lists this ribosomal RNA (497 nucleotides) under uncultured bacterium. Its description in RNAcentral is "partial 16S ribosomal RNA". It matches the Rfam family "Bacterial small subunit ribosomal RNA", at positions 28 to 507 of the family's 1533-position model. The record is from RNAcentral.